This 132-nucleotide ribosomal RNA is filed under the name Staphylococcus pettenkoferi. Its description in RNAcentral is "partial 16S ribosomal RNA". It matches the Rfam family "Bacterial small subunit ribosomal RNA", at positions 1412 to 1533 of the family's 1533-position model. Lineage: Bacteria; Bacillati; Bacillota; Bacilli; Caryophanales; Staphylococcaceae. The record is from RNAcentral.
UUGUAACACCCGAAGCCGGUGGAGCAACCACUUUGUGGAGCUAGCCGUCGAAGGUGGGACAAAUGAUUGGGGUGAAGUCGUAACAAGGUAGCCGUAUCGGAAGGUGCGGCUGGAUCACCUCCUUUCUAAGGA